CCUCAGCUUCCCCACGGGUAGAAGUAUGGGAUUGGGCUGGGCCUUCUUUCCCUGGGCGAGCUGUUGUCAGAGUUCUUUUCCAAUACGCCACCCUGGCACUCUCUUCUCUCCCUACUCCCUCUUCUGUUGAGAAACCCCGGCCUGGAAUCCGAGGUCCCUUCCAGUUUCCAAGAUUCUUGUCUUGGCCCCAGGUUACACCCUUCAGUCAGCAGGAAGGAACAGUGUGUUGUGUGUUCUGUCCCAAGGCCCUCCGCAGCCUUCCCAAGGCCCUCAGCCCAAAGAUCAGGGCUGUGCUGGGGAAUUUCUCUCUCCCUCUGACAUGCACAGCGCCCCAAGCCUGGAGCUGCGUGGAAGGGAGUUGUGUUUGCAGAGAUUUCUGAGGACCUGUUGGAGAGCCUGAGCCUUAGCUGGCUCUAAGAAAGGGCUCUCUGACCUCGGGCAAGUCCCUUAAGUUCUCUGAGCUUCAGUUUCCUCAUUUGUAAAACAGAAUAGCCUCACCCACUGUGAUCAGAAGGCUUCUGAGAAGGCAAAACGAGAUGGGUAAUGUGUGUUAACACCUAGCACAGUGCCUGGCACACAGCUGAGGCUCCUUUUGGAGAACCACCGGAAGAGGUUCUACUGGAGAUGAUGCUGGAGAGAUGACACAGGCGGAGAUAAAACACGGUGCAUCUCAAGGCGCAGUAACUAGAACUGAGCAGCGUGACCGUCCACGUCAGUCCUCCUGGUCCUGAUUCUUCCUCAGGGCCAGCGGGCGCCUCUUCCAGGACCGCAGAGGGAGGAGGCCGGUGCUCAGCUGGCUGCCUCUGUGGUUAAGGAGGAGACCCCCGGCCCCGCCCCGCCCUCUGCACACCCUCAGAGGGAGCAGGGCCAUGAUGGAAUGGUCCGGAGCACCCAGAGAAAUGCAAACAGGAUGUGUGUGUGAUUGCGGUUUCCACCAGGAGCUUUGACACCAUCCGAGAGAUAAACUUCUUUGGGGCUUUCCUCUGUACUACAGAAUCAUAGAACAGUAGACCUGGAAGGGGACUUGGGGAUGAUCUGAUGUGGCCUUUACAUCUUACAGGUGAGCCUAGAGAAGGUAAGAAACUUGCCUAAAGACACACAGCAAGUUAGCAGCAGAAUUGGGCUGAGAACCCAGAUUUCCUUUAUAGGAAGCUAUUUCCUGACUGUUAGGCUGCUUCCUACUGGGUCCUCUUAAUUAUCCUGUGAGGUAGGUAAGGUACGCAUUAGCCCAUGGAACCGACGAGGAAAUUAAGACCCAGAGACUAAAUGGCUUGCCAGAAGUCCCCUGGGACCAGUUCAGGCUACGUCACACUGCACUGCAGGGGUGAUGAGUAUGGAGCUGUGCUCGCUCCAGGGAUGGCGUCUGGGUCUGGGUCCAGGUCUGCCUCCCUGGGACUCCCCUUGGCAGAUCCUCUGAAAAUGGGGUCUACAGCUUCCUGGAUUACAGACCAGACCUUUAAUGUGCUCGUUAGUUUUGAUACUUUCAACUUCAGAGGGAAGAGUCAAAGCCCUGAAAAUAGACAAGACCUGGAUGGAGCCAGUCCCAAGUCCAGAUGGGCCUUUGCAUCCACACCUCCCUGGCUUCCUGGGACUGGCUUGACUUUCUCUGGGCCCCGACCCACCUCAAUGUCCAGGCCCUUUCUGUCUCCCAUGGGGGCCUGAAGAGACCUGUUCCAGAUGUCACGCUCAGCUGUCACCGAAGGAAGCGUGGGCUUCAAGACCCAGGGCCCACUGCUCACACUGCUUCUCCACCACUGAGUUCAAGGAAAACAUGACAUAGAAGAGUCUGGAAUGGGGGUGGGGACUGCGAGAGGAAUCCUGGCCAGAGGCCAGGGCACCCUGAUUCCGUGAGUGGAGUGGGCACUGGGGAAGCUGGCCCCAGGGGUCUGCAGGGGCCUCGAGUCCUGCCCCUCAGAAAGG
Molecule: long non-coding RNA, 1920 nt
Organism: Lagenorhynchus albirostris (white-beaked dolphin)
Lineage: Eukaryota; Metazoa; Chordata; Mammalia; Artiodactyla; Delphinidae
Exons: 4
Source: RefSeq, a predicted model, not a curated record